UCUUAAACCUGGUCCAUGCGCACCCUUAUCUCCUCUUGCUGCCUCAUACUCGACCCAAAGAGAUUCCCUCGCUCUCACACACCCAGUGAUGCUGGCCAUCUCGCCGCGCCAAUGGCAUCCAUCCCCUCCCUCGCCGUCUCCGGCGCCGCCACUGCCGUCGCUGCCAAGCCCCCGCCGAGCUCCGCCGGCUUCGACAAGGGCGGUUCUCAUCAGAGGAGCACCCAAGCAGCGGAAAAUGGCAGAUUGGAGACCGAGAGCCCCCCUCGGCCGCUAGAUGCCCUGGAAGCAAUGAGCAUGCUGAAAGACGGCCGGACGGUGCAGUCAGCGAUGUACGUGCCUCUGCUUCACCAGUGCGUCCAAGCCAGCGACCGAGGGGGCCUCCGCACCGCCAGGGCCCUGCACGGCCACAUGGCGAAGACCGGAACCGUCGCGGACAUGUUCGUGGCGACGUCCCUGGUGAACGUGUACAUGAGGUGCGGGGCGAGCCGGGACGCGCGCAGGCUGUUCGACGGAAUGCCCGACAAGAACGUGGUCACCUGGACGGCGCUGAUAACGGGCCACACUCUCAACUCCGAGCCGGCGCUGGCGCUGGAGGUGUUCGUCGAGAUGCUCGAGCUGGGGAGGUACCCGUCGCACUACACGCUGGGCGGCAUGCUGAACGCGUGCUCUGCCGCGCGCAGGAUCGACCUGGGCCAGCAGGUCCAUGGCUACUCGGUUAAGUAUGGGGCCGAUACCAUCACGAGCAUGGGCAAUUCACUCUGCAGGAUGUACUGCAAGUCUGGAGACUUGGAGUCUGGCCUGAGGGCCUUUAAGGGCACCCCUGACAAGAAUGUGAUCACCUGGACGACGAUGAUAUCGUCCUGCGCCGAAGAUGAGAACUACCUGGAGCUUGGGGUGAGUUUGUUUCUUGAUAUGCUCGAGGGAGGGGUGACGCCGAAUGAGUUCACGUUGACUAGCGUCAUGAGCUUGUGUGGCACGAGGCUGGAUAUGAACCUCGGCAAGCAGGUCCAGGCUUUCUGCUACAAGGUUGGGUGUGAAGCGAAUCUUCCGGUGAAGAACUCCACAAUGUACCUCUAUCUCAGGAAGGGCGAAACGGACGAGGCAAUGCGGUUGUUCGAAGAGAUGGACAGCAGCAGUAUUAUCACGUGGAAUGCAAUGAUCUCCGGGUAUGCUCAAAUCAUGGACUCGGCAAAGGAUGACCUCCAUGCUCGUUCCAGAGGGUUCCAGGCACUCAAAUUAUUCCGUGAUCUCGUGAGAUCUGAAUUGAAGCCAGACUUGUUCACCUUCUCAAGCAUCCUGUCAGUAUGCAGCGCCAUGAUGGCCUUGGAGCAGGGCGAGCAAAUCCAUGCAAACACGAUAAAGACUGGAUGCCUGUCGGAUGUUGUUGUGAACAGCGCGCUGGUAAACAUGUACAACAAGUGCGGAUGCAUCGAGUGCGCGACCAAAGCCUUCGUCGAGAUGCCAACACGGACACCUGUCACGUGGACCUCUAUGAUUUCAGGGUACUCGCAGCAUGGCCGGUCCCGAGAUGCGAUACAGCUCUUUGAGGACAUGAUAUUAUCUGGCGCCAAACCAAACGAGAUCACAUUCGUAAGUUUGCUGUCAGCCUGCAGCUAUGCUGGUUUAGUCGAGGAGGCUGAGCGCUACUUUGACAUGAUGCGGAGUGAGUAUCAUAUAGAGCCUCUUGUGGACCAUUACGGGUGCAUGGUUGACAUGUUCGUGCGAUUGGGCCGGCUGGAUGAUGCAUUUUCCUUCAUCAAGAGAACAGGCUUUGAGCCGAACGAGGCCAUCUGGUCCAGUUUGGUAGCUGGAUGCCGGAGUCAUGGGAACAUGGAACUUGCUUUCUACGCCGCUGAUAGGCUCCUUGAGCUCAAGCCGAAAGUGAUUGAAACAUAUGUCUUGCUGUUGAACAUGUACGUGUCUACUGGUAGAUGGCGUGACGUCGCCAGGGUGCGGAAACUGGCCAAACAUGAAGAUGUCGGGGUUCUCAGAGACCGUAGCUGGAUUGCAAUCAGAGACAAGGUGUAUUUCUUCAGAGCUGAUGACAUGACUCACCCACAAGCUACAGAGUUGUAUCUAUUAUUGGAGAAUUUGCUGGAAAAGGCUAAGGCCGUAGGGUACGAACCGUACCAGAAUGCUCCUGAGUUAUUAUCUGACAGCAAGGAGGGCGACGAGGACAAGCCUGCUGCUGCUGCAGGUUCACUAAUAAAGCACCACAGUGAGAGGUUGGCUGUUGCACUGGGGCUGCUCAAAACACCUCCUGGUGCGACAGUCCGUGUGACCAAGAACAUCACCAUGUGCAGGGACUGCCACAGCUCUAUCAAAUACUUCUCACUACUCGCAAACAGAGAGAUUGUUGUCCGGGACAGCAAACGGCUUCACAAGUUCAAGGAUGGUCGGUGCUCGUGUGGGGAUUUCGGUGGUGCGCUCCUCCUGUGAUGCCGAAAAAUCUCAUGCGCACCGCGCUAUUCUAUUCCGAGAACAUGACAAUUUUUUGCAUUGGAAACAGUGAACUGUUGGGCAUGACAUAUGUCCGUCUUGCCACGAGAAGCUCUUCCCACGGUCUACAAUCGCUCCUACAUGGUAGAACAUGUCAAUUAAUCCAUCAAAGUUGCUUGCUCCAGUCCCAUGGCAACCGUGGAUGCACUAAAAGGAUAACCUACUACCAGAAAGAAGACCACGAGAAGGGUUGCCCACAUGCGCCAUGCUUCUGCCCUGAAACGAGUUGUGGCUUCAGCGGACCAACGGUGGUGCUUCUGGGCCACUUGUCAGGCAAGCAGCAGUGCCACUCCAAAUUCAUGUACAACAAGUUGAUCGAGGUCCACAUCCAGCUGGGACCAACCGUCCUCGCGGGCGAAGACAUGAUGUGUGCUCCUUGUCGGUGUCAUCCCCGUUGACAUGCCCGCAUGGGGUUGCUUUUGACAGGUGAGUACUUCUAAGUCUUGAUUUUUGGACGUGUAGAACUUGUGUUCUUUCAACAGAUCUCUAUUUUUGGGAACUGCAGUGAUGUUCUAUCUGAUUGCAGAGCACGGUUUGUACUCGGGGCAAAAUUAUUUGCCUGAAACUGUUUAAAGGUAUUACACAAUACAUUACCCCUCAAAAGAAACUACACAGGCUUUUUUCUGUCACUUGUGCCAUCUUACGAGGUAGACAGUCCAAUUUACUAACACUGAACCUACAUCAGGCUUUUCACAUCCUGAGAAUGUUGGCUGUUCAAAUAUAUUCAGAGUUAAUACCACAUUUGUCCUUAGGUUUCUUCAAUAAGAUUCAUUGUACGAUUAGUCAAUCUAGACCAUUGAAACUGGAUUGUAAUCUUAGAUAGUAACUCCAUAGUUUCAGAAGAAAAAUAUUAGUUCUACACUUUUGAUAUUGCCUGGCACUGUCAGGUACAUCUCUAUCAGUUACAUCUUCUAUCAGAUGAAAUCUUUCGAGUCCUUAUUAUCUACAGGCAGGUCGAAGAGUCCCGGGAGAUGAGCGUUGGUGAGCUUGGUCCUGCUGGUGAUCCCGCGCGGCUUCUUCCUGGCCUUCUCCGGCUCCGGUUGCCGGCCAUGGAUCUGCUCAGCGGCACGCCUCUUGGCCGUGUCGGUGGCCGGCUUCUCGCCGUUCUUCCGGAGCUCCUUCUCGACGUCCACCAUGUUUACCGGCAGCUUGAUGUCGUGGAACAUCUUCUUGAGCUCGGCGUCCACCUCCAUCCUCGACCUCGGGUCAUCCGGGUCUUCCAGCACGGAUGGAUACGCGUCCUCCACCUCCGACGCCGGGAGGCCGUCGGGGAAGCUUCCGACGAGCGAGAGCAGCUCGUCUUUGCCCCUGACGUCGUGCGUGCGCUUGUACGAGUAGCGCUCCCCGUCAAAGCGCACCUUGGGGUUGUUCCUCAGGCGCUCGGCGAUGGCGCCAUCGAUGUCGACGUAGGUUUUCUCGUUUAUCUGGUGCGCCGUGAGAGCUUCCCUCGUCCUCUCGAGCAGCGCGAUGACAUCUCUGAUCUGUUUUCCGACGGGGGACCUCCUAACUUCAUUGAUCUUCUGUAGGCGUGCUGUGUCAUCGGAGAAUCUGAUCUGUGCUCCGGCGGCCAACUUCCUCGCGGUGUUGGUCUCUUUUAGCCGCGCCGUGUCAUCGGAGAUUCUGACGGCAGGCACUGGCGGCGAUGGUUUAGCCGCCGGCCUUGGAGUUGGAGCUGCACCGGGUUGCUGCUGGGACGGCGACGGCCUGGUGGAUGAUGAUGAUGAAGAAGUUUUUGCUGCGGCGAUGGCGGAUAGAGCCGCUUGGUUCCUCUCCUGCUGCAGCUUGAACCUGGCGAGGCCAUCGUUCAAGGCCAUCGGUGCGUGGGUCAGUCCUUGAUCAAGGAAAGAAGAUGGUCGGAGCAGUACGGCGGCGAAGCGUUUGAAGCGCGCUGCAGACGGCGACGGUAGGCAGCCCUGCACGAGAGUAUAUACUCCUUAUUAUAGACGGAUGAGAGGAGGCAGCGACACGGCUUCGGAUUCAAAAUAAACGGAGUAGACGGCUUCGUGUGCAAGACGGUUAAGGGCCCGUUCCUUUGGUGGCAUUUUUUGGAAGCCAACCAAUUUUUUGUAUAAGCCUAGUACUACUAGUUAAGUCUUAAUUAGGCGAACCAACUUGUGGUUGAAUGGUUAGAGGGACUGUGGUAUUCCCAGCCCAUCAGGGUUCAAAUUCCGGUGCUCGCAUUUAGCUCAGUCUUUCGGAGGUGCUCAUAGGGGUAGGGUGUGCGUGUGUGCGUUCA
Molecule: RNA transcript, 4735 nt
Organism: Triticum aestivum (bread wheat)
Lineage: Eukaryota; Viridiplantae; Streptophyta; Magnoliopsida; Poales; Poaceae
Gene name: putative pentatricopeptide repeat-containing protein At5g52630
Exons: 4
Source: RefSeq, a predicted model, not a curated record